Molecule: ribosomal RNA, 505 nt
Filed under: uncultured bacterium
Lineage: Bacteria
Description: partial 16S ribosomal RNA
Rfam family: Bacterial small subunit ribosomal RNA
Source: RNAcentral
GACGAACGCUGGCGGCGUGCCUAAUACAUGCAAGUAGAACGCACAGUUUAUACCGUAGCUUGCUGCACCAUAAACUGUGAGUUGCGAACGGGUGAGUAACGCGUAGGUAACCUGCCUGGUAGCGGGGGAUAACUAUUGGAAACGAUAGCUAAUACCGCAUAAUAUUAAUUAUUGCAUGAUAAUUGAUUGAAAGAUGCAAUUGCAUCACUACCAGAUGGACCUGCGUUGUAUUAGCUAGUAGGUGAGGUAACGGCUCACCUAGGCGACGAUACAUAGCCGACCUGAGAGGGUGAUCGGCCACACUGGGACUGAGACACGGCCCAGACUCCUACGGGAGGCAGCAGUAGGGAAUCUUCGGCAAUGGACGAAAGUCUGACCGAGCAACGCCGCGUGAGUGAAGAAGGUUUUCGGAUCGUAAAGCUCUGUUGUAAGAGAAGAACGGGUGUGAGAGUGGAAAGUUCACACUGUGACGGUAUCUUACCAGAAAGGGACGGCUAACUACGUG